Molecule: transfer RNA, 69 nt
Filed under: Rhopaea magnicornis (brown cockchafer)
Lineage: Eukaryota; Metazoa; Arthropoda; Insecta; Coleoptera; Scarabaeidae
Description: tRNA-Trp
Source: RNAcentral
AAGGAUUUAAGUUAAAUUCAAACUUGGAACCUUCAAAGUUCCCAAUAAAGACAUAUUCUUUAAGCCUUA